UACGGAAGGUGCAAGCGUUAAUCGGAAUUACUGGGCGUAAAGCGCGCGUAGGCUGCUUGGUAAGUCGGAUGUGAAAGCCCCGGGCUCAACCUGGGAACUGCAUUCGAUACUGCCGGGCUGGAGUACGAGAGAGGGGGGUGGAAUUCCAGGGGUAGCGGUGAAAUGCGUAGAGAUCUGGAGGAACACCAGUGGCGAAGGCGGCCCCCUGGUUCGAUACUGACGCUGAGGUGCGAAAGCGUGGGGAGCAAACAGG
Molecule: ribosomal RNA, 253 nt
Filed under: uncultured bacterium
Lineage: Bacteria
Description: partial 16S ribosomal RNA
Rfam family: Bacterial small subunit ribosomal RNA
Source: RNAcentral